UGCCACAGCCAUAUUACCCUGCAGCCCAAGACCGGUUACUCACUGAAGCUAAAGCAGGGCUGAGCCUAGUCAGUACCUGGAUGGGAGACCAUAUGGGAAAACUAGGUUGCUAUUGGAA
Molecule: ribosomal RNA, 118 nt
Organism: Danio rerio (zebrafish)
Lineage: Eukaryota; Metazoa; Chordata; Actinopteri; Cypriniformes; Danionidae
Source: Ensembl